GUUAAUGUAGCUUAAACCAUAUAAAGCAAGGCACUGAAAAUGCCUAGAUGAGUUCUCCACUCCAUAAACA
This 70-nucleotide transfer RNA is filed under the name Microcebus danfossi. Its description in RNAcentral is "tRNA-Phe". It matches the Rfam family "tRNA". Rfam says of the family: Transfer RNA (tRNA) molecules are approximately 80 nucleotides in length. The record is from RNAcentral. Lineage: Eukaryota; Metazoa; Chordata; Mammalia; Primates; Cheirogaleidae.